Molecule: non-coding RNA, 23 nt
Filed under: Rattus norvegicus (Norway rat)
Lineage: Eukaryota; Metazoa; Chordata; Mammalia; Rodentia; Muridae
Source: RNAcentral
AAGGUGGUAACUUUGUGGAAGGA